This is a long non-coding RNA of Dreissena polymorpha, 441 nucleotides long. RefSeq lists it as uncharacterized. The transcript is spliced from 3 exons. The record is from RefSeq and is a predicted model, not a curated record. Lineage: Eukaryota; Metazoa; Mollusca; Bivalvia; Myida; Dreissenidae.
AUGCAGUUUCAAAGCAAUGAUUGGACUUUUUUAAUUUGAAGUUUUAAUCAUGUGAUGAAUUAAUCUUACUUUGAAGAACAUUCUGAAAUAAUUAAGUAAAAUGUGGAAGUCAACAUUCAGUGUGUAAAAAAGGCUGAAAAGAGUGAUUCAGUGAGUUAUGAUGGAACUUUUUAUAAUGCUCUUAACUACUCAACACAGACGAUCCAAUCACAGGAAAUGUUAUGAAUAUUUCCGCUGUAACUGAACCUAGAAAGGAAUACACCGAUUACAGAGUAGGAGAUGUAGUUAAGGCGAGAUGUGGGUCAUUUGGUGUUGUACCCGCCAUUAUCGGAAAGAUCGGAGAUAAAGCUGAGAAGAAAGAUCUGGAGAAGCUCUUGAGCAUGCCUCAGAUGUUUUCUACCCUCAUAGACAGCUUUAUACCUGAGAUUCUUGUCAUGAAAA